UACGUAGGGACCAAGCGUUGUUCGGAUUUACUGGGCGUAAAGGGCGCGUAGGCGGCGUGACAAGUCACUUGUGAAAUCUCUGGGCUUAACCCAGAACGGCCAAGUGAAACUGUCGUGCUAGAGUGCGGAAGGGGCAAUCGGAAUUCUCGGUGUAGCGGUGAAAUGCGUAGAUAUCGAGAGGAACACCUGAGGUGAAGACGGGUUGCUGGGCCGACACUGACGCUGAGUGCGCGAAAGCCAGGGGAGCAAACAGG
Molecule: ribosomal RNA, 254 nt
Filed under: uncultured bacterium
Lineage: Bacteria
Description: partial 16S ribosomal RNA
Rfam family: Bacterial small subunit ribosomal RNA
Source: RNAcentral